This 253-nucleotide ribosomal RNA is filed under the name uncultured bacterium. RNAcentral describes it as "partial 16S ribosomal RNA". It matches the Rfam family "Bacterial small subunit ribosomal RNA", at positions 524 to 776 of the family's 1533-position model. The record is from RNAcentral.
GACGUAGGAGGCGAGCGUUGUCCGGAUUCAUUGGGCGUAAAGAGCGCGCAGGCGGUCGUUCAAGUCGCGUGUGAAAGCCCCCGGCUCAACUGGGGAGGGUCACGCGAUACUGAUCGACUCGAAGGCAGGAGAGGGUAGUGGAAUUCCCGGUGUAGUGGUGAAAUGCGUAGAUAUCGAGAGGAACACCAGUGGCGAAGGCGAGUCCCUGGACAGGUCCUGACGCUGAGGCACGAAAGCUAGGGGAGCAAACAGG